GAGGAGAGUGGCGAACGGGUGAGUAACACGUGGAUAAUCUGCCUUCAGGAUUGGGAUAACUGUGGGAAACUACAGCUAAUACCGGAUAAGAUGGUAGCUUCACAAGAAGUAGUCAUUAAAGGUGGGGACCUUCGGGCCUACCGCCUGAAGAUGAGUCCGCGGCCCAUUAGCUUGUUGGUAGGGUAACGGCCUACCAAGGCUGCGAUGGGUAGCCGGCCUGAGAGGGUGAUCGGUCACAUUGGGACUGAGAUACGGCCCAGACUUCUACGGAAGGCAGCAGUUAAGAAUCUUGCGCAAUGGGCGAAAGCCUGACGCAGCGACGCCGCGUGGACGAUGAAGGCCUUCGGGUUGUAAAGUCCGGUAAGCAGGGAAGAAUAAGUUUCGUUGAAUAAGCGGAACGAUGACGGUACCUGCCUAAAGCCCCGGCUAACUACGUGCCAGCAGCCGCGGUAAUACGUAUGGGGCGAGCGUUGUUCGGAAUUAUUGGGCAUAAAGGGCGUCUAGGCGGGGAAUUAAGUUAGGUGUGAAAGCCAUGGGCUCAACCCGUUGAAUUGCAUCUAAAACUGAUUCUCUUGGAGUACGGGAGAGGAGAGCGGAAUUCCUGGUGUAGCGGUGAAAUGCGUAGAUUAUCAGGAAGAACACCAGUGCCGAAGCCGGGCUCUCUGCCCUAGAACUGACGCUGAAGCCGCGAAAGCGUUGGGGAGCGAACGGGGAUUAGAUACCCCCGGUAGUUCCAGGCCCGUAAACGUUUGUGUACUAGGUGUUAGUGCUUUAAGCACUAGUGCCGACGCUUAACGCAUUAAGUACACCGCCUGGGGAGUACGCCCGCAAGGGUUAAACCCAAAGAAAUUGACGGGGGCCCGCACAAGCGGUGGAGCAUGUGGUUUAAUUCGAUGAUACGCGAAGAACCUUACCAGGGCUUGAACUGUUUCUGACAGGUGUAGAGAUACACCCUCCUUCGGGCAGAUUCAGAGGUGCUGCAUGGUUGUCGUCAGCUCGUGUCGUGAGAUGUUGGGUUAAGUCCCGCAACGAGCGCAACCCUUACUCCUUGUUGCUAUCAGGUCAUGCUGGGCACUCUAGGGGAACUGCCGGUGAUAAACCGGAGGAAGGUGGGGAUGACGUCAAAUCAGCACGGCCCUUAUGUCCUGGGCUACACACGUGCUACAAUGGCCGGUACAAUGAGUUGCGAUGCCGCGAGGUGGAGCUAAUCUCAAAAAACCGGUCUCAGUUCGGAUUGCAGUCUG
Molecule: ribosomal RNA, 1244 nt
Filed under: uncultured organism
Description: bacterial SSU rRNA
Rfam family: Bacterial small subunit ribosomal RNA
Source: RNAcentral